Molecule: transfer RNA, 73 nt
Filed under: Alosa alosa (allis shad)
Lineage: Eukaryota; Metazoa; Chordata; Actinopteri; Clupeiformes; Clupeidae
Description: tRNA-OTHER
Source: RNAcentral
GCUUUUAGUUCAGUGGUUAGAGCGUUCGACUCCCAUGCCGGUGUUGAGGUGGCGGGUUCGAGAGCCGUGAGCG